This 191-nucleotide ribosomal RNA is filed under the name Staphylococcus aureus. RNAcentral describes it as "partial 23S ribosomal RNA". It matches the Rfam family "Bacterial large subunit ribosomal RNA", at positions 2734 to 2925 of the family's 2925-position model. Lineage: Bacteria; Bacillati; Bacillota; Bacilli; Caryophanales; Staphylococcaceae. The record is from RNAcentral.
GGCAUAGCUGGGUAGCUAUGUGUGGACGGGAUAAGUGCUGAAAGCAUCUAAGCAUGAAGCCCCCCUCAAGAUGAGAUUUCCCAACUUCGGUUAUAAGAUCCCUCAAAGAUGAUGAGGUUAAUAGGUUCGAUGUGGAAGCAUGGUGACAUGUGGAGCUGACGAAUACUAAUCGAUCGAAGACUUAAUCAAAA